RNAcentral lists this long non-coding RNA (1366 nucleotides) under Homo sapiens (human). RNAcentral describes it as "HSALNT0216545". The record is from RNAcentral. Lineage: Eukaryota; Metazoa; Chordata; Mammalia; Primates; Hominidae.
GCUGGUUAAUGGACCUCACUUUAUUCCAGCUUUAUUAGCUAAUGGCAGCUAAAAGUGAUUUUACACAAAAUAAUGUGUCGGAGAUCAUUGUUCCCGGGCACAGGUCCCAAAUUCCAGCCCACGACCGAAGGCCAAACGUGCCCGUUAAUGAUUAAACCUCUGGAGUCAGUGCUCAGGGACACAGGCAGGGAGCAGCCCGGAGAGCUGCCGGUCAAGGUGCCCGGCCGGGUGGGGGUGGGGCAGCAGCCAGGCCCCGCCCAACAGGAACCAGUUCCUGCCCAAAGCAGGAGGGGAAAGGCUUUUCCACCAAGGGAAAGCUAAAUAUUGUCUAAAUCCGGCACCCAGGACGACACACAGGCUUCCCAUUGUCUGCCACACAGCAGGUCUCGGCCACGGCCCAGGUUGCACCCGUGUGAGGUCAGGGAGGGUGGAGCAUCCCGGGGAGGGGGCCUGCCCCCACCGUCUUCCUCUGCACCGAGGCACAUUCUUGGGAAAGGUCUUAUGUUGCCAAAAGGGCUUAACCACAUGACACAAGUGAGCGUAGGUGGGCACCAGUGAGGAAAAGCCAUCCUUGGCAGCAGAAGCCGGUGCAGGGGCGACGCUUCAGACCACAGGAAGCGAGCUCUCCACGGUGGCCGAGGGCUUUUCCACUCGGCGAGCCUGGGCACCAGUCCCAGCUCUGCUACCUUUUCGCUGUCGUAGGUUAUCUCAGUUUCCUCCUCUGUAAAAUGGGAACGUGGUACCUGACCUCAAGGUCACCAAGAGGUCUACCGAGUGGCCCCUGUGAAACACGUAGUGCCGGAGCCCUGGUACCUGCAAGCUCUCAAUACCCGGCGAUCACGUUCAUUACGAUUAGGAUCACCAGAUUCUGUUCCUUUGCGAGAUCCUUUCCAACUGCACUUUCAUGUCAGUGUUCGUUUGCAGGUUGAUGUUGGACCGUAUUUACAUUCAGUGUUUGGGGCUGACCGGGAAGAAAUCUGAAAGUGGAAGAGAAGGGAAGGCACCGGUAACCUCGUCUUCCCAAGAGGAGGUCAGAGGGCAGUUCAGACAUUGAAGGAAGAGACAAAGAGCCUUGAAUGUCACGAAAAGGAGGUUGGACUUUAUCCUGCAGGCAAUCAGAAGCCAGAAAGGUUUCAGGAUGGAUGGGCUGAUCAGAUUUGAGUUUCAACAGGCCACUGUGCUGCUACAGACACCCAGACACCGGAGCUCCAGCCGGGGCAGGCUGCAGGAUGCCCAGCCGUGUCCCCAGGAUGCCCUGCACGCUGUCCUGAAAACUAACCUGUAACUGCAGCUCUUGGAGCCUUCCGGAACCCAGAUCCCCACCUGAGAUCAAACCAAAGACCUGGUUUAAGGUCCCUGGUUUGGC